GACGAACGCUGGCGGCGUGCUUAACACAUGCAAGUCGUACGGUAAGGCCCUUUCGGGGGUACCCGAGUGGCGAACGGUUGAGUAACACGGGAGUAACCUGCCCACAACUUUGGGAUAACGCUAGGAAACUGGUGCUAAUACUGGAUAUGUGCUCCUGCUGCAUGGUGGGGGUUGGAAAGCUCCGGCGGUUGUGGAUGGACUCGCGGCCUAUCAGCUUGUUGGUGGGGUAGUGGCCUACCAAGGCGACGACGGGUAGCCGGCCUGUGAGAGUGACCGGCCACAUUGAGACUGAGAGACGGCCCAGACUCCGACGGGAGGCAGCAGGGGGGAAUAUUGCACAAGGGGCGCAAGCCGGAUGCAGAAACGCCGCGUGCGGGAUGACGGCUUUCGGGUUGUAAACCGCUUUCAGCAGGGACGAAGCUUUUUGUGACGGUACCUGCAGAAGAAGCACCGGCUAACUACGUG
RNAcentral lists this ribosomal RNA (465 nucleotides) under uncultured bacterium. RNAcentral's name for it is "partial 16S ribosomal RNA". It matches the Rfam family "Bacterial small subunit ribosomal RNA", at positions 28 to 507 of the family's 1533-position model. The record is from RNAcentral.